GACGAACGCUGGCGGCGUGCUUAACACAUGCAAGUCGAACGGAAAGGCCCUGCUUUUGUGGGGUGCUCGAGUGGCGAACGGGUGAGUAACACGUGAGUAACCUGCCCUUGACUUUGGGAUAACUUCAGGAAACUGGGGCUAAUACCGGAUAGGAGCUCCUGCUGCAUGGUGGGGGUUGGAAAGUUUCGGCGGUUGGGGAUGGACUCGCGGCUUAUCAGCUUGUUGGUGGGGUAGUGGCUUACCAAGGCUUUGACGGGUAGCCGGCCUGAGAGGGUGACCGGCCACAUUGGGACUGAGAGACGGCCCAGACUCCUACGGGAGGCAGCAGUGGGGAGUAUUGCACAAUGGGCGGAAGCCUGAUGCAGCAACGCCGCGUGCGGGAUGACGGCCUGCGGGUUGUAAACCGCUUUCGCCUGUGACGAAGCGUGAGUGACGGUAAUGGGUAAAGAAGCACCGGCUAACUACGUG
Molecule: ribosomal RNA, 468 nt
Filed under: uncultured bacterium
Lineage: Bacteria
Description: partial 16S ribosomal RNA
Rfam family: Bacterial small subunit ribosomal RNA
Source: RNAcentral